GAUGAAGAACGUAGCGAAAUGCGAUAAGUAGUGUGAAUUGCAGAAUUCAGUGAAUCAUCGAAUCUUUGAACGCACAUUGCCCCUCCUGGUAUUCCGGGAGGCAUGCCUGUUCGAGCGUCAUCAAAAACCUCAACCCAUGAUUUAUUGUGAGUUGGUUCUGCAUUGGACUCCUUGUGGGUCCUUUGCGAAAUCCAAUGGCGAAGAGCCACGCAACCAAAGCGUAGUAUAACUAUUUCGUUAUGGAAGCGUGGGUGCCUCUGCCGUAACCCCCAAUUUCUUAGUUUUUGACCUCGGAUCAGGUAGGGAUACCCGCUGAACUUAAGCAUAUCAAUAAGCGGAGGA
This 342-nucleotide unclassified non-coding RNA is filed under the name soil metagenome. RNAcentral's name for it is "partial contains 5.8S ribosomal RNA, internal transcribed spacer 2, and large subunit ribosomal RNA". The stretch from base 1 to 120 matches the Rfam family "5.8S ribosomal RNA", at positions 35 to 154 of the family's 154-position model. The record is from RNAcentral.